AGACAGAUGUGAAAUGCCCGGGCUCACCUGGGACUGCAUUUGUGACUGCAUGGCUAGAGUNNUCAGAGGGGGUAGAAUUCACGUGUAGCAGUGAAAUGCGUAAAGAUGUGGAGGAAUACCGAUGGCGAAGGCAGCCCCUGGGAUAACACUGACGCUCAUGCACGAAAGCGUGGGAGCAAACAGGAUUAGAUACCUGGUAGUCCACGCCCUAAACGAUGUCUACUAGUUGUCGGGUCUUAAUUGACUUGGUAACGCAGCUAACGCGUGAAGUAGACCGCCUGGGGAGUACGGUCGCAAGAUUAAAACUCAAAGGAAUUGACGGGGACCCGCACAAGCGGUGGAUGAUGUGGAUUAAUUCGAUGCAACGCGAAAAACCUUACCUACCCUUGACAUGGCUGGAAUCCUUAAGAGAUUAGGGAGUGCUCGCAAGAGAACCAGUACACAGGUGCUGCAUGGCUGUCGUCAGCUCGUGUCGUGAGAUGUUGGGUUACGUCCCGCAACGAGCGCAACCCUUGUCAUUAGUUGCUACGAAAGGGCACUCUAAUGAGACUGCCGGUGACAAACCGGAGGAAGGUGGGGAUGACGUCAAGUCCUCAUGGCCCUUAUGGGUAGGGCUUCACACGUCAUACAAUGGUACAUACAGAGGGCCGCCAACCCGCGAGGGGGAGCUAAUCCCAGAAAGUGUAUCGUAGUCCGGAUUGUAGUCUGCAACUCGACUGCAUGAAGUUGGAAUCGCUAGUAAUCGCGGAUCAGCAUGUCGCGGUGAAUACGUUCCCGGGUCUUGUACACACCGCCCGUCACACCAUGGGAGCGGGUUUCACCAGAAGUAGGUAGCUUAACCGCAAGGAGGGCGCUUACCACGGUGGGAUUCGUGACUGGGGUGAAGUCGU
This 890-nucleotide ribosomal RNA is filed under the name uncultured bacterium. Its description in RNAcentral is "bacterial SSU rRNA". It matches the Rfam family "Bacterial small subunit ribosomal RNA", at positions 586 to 1489 of the family's 1533-position model. The record is from RNAcentral.